Molecule: long non-coding RNA, 2279 nt
Organism: Talpa occidentalis (Iberian mole)
Lineage: Eukaryota; Metazoa; Chordata; Mammalia; Eulipotyphla; Talpidae
Exons: 7
Source: RefSeq, a predicted model, not a curated record
CUUAGAGGAAGAAAUGCCACCUCUCACCAUGUCCCAAGUUUGCAAAUCACUGGCUUUGGCUGCGUCACAUGAUCUCCCUUUAGCCAAUCCUUGCUGAGAAGGGAGGCAGCACUCUGAUUGGCCUACCCUGAACCCAGGUCUACCCCUUGGAUCAAAAACCACAUCAGGACCAUGGAAAAUACAGGCAGGUACAGACGAGGCAGUUUGAAUAUUUGGAACAGGGACCCAAAACCAUAACCAUCCUUCCCUCCAAAAUGGAUACGUGCAGUGGACAUCAGUGAGACCCCCCACUCCCCCAGGGAGGCUGAUCCGAGGCUGCCAGAGUAAGGUCCAUUCCGCAACAAGGUCCAUUCUGAAGAAAUGCGACAGUGAUGCUGGGCCCUGGGCAGCCACCUGUUACACCGCACUCCACAGGCCACCUCACAGAAGAAAAGGCAGACCCAGAUCCUCCUCUAGCUGCGUAUUCACCUGAAUGUCAAGAGGCAGACCCCGGAGCAUCCAGCAAAACCUCUGUGCUUAGAUGUCUUCAGAUCCACGAAAUAGCAGACUGAGUCCUCCACAUCCUCUGAGGGAGUUAUUAUGAAGCUGUUUCACACAUGAAGAGACAAAGCUUGGAGUGGUUACAUGAAGUUUUUGGAAGCUCCACCUAGAAAGAGAGAGUUCCAGGAUUUUCACCCAGGAGAUUCAAAUCCAGAAUUAAAGCUCUUAACCACACCACCUUCUGGAUUUGUUUAGCCAGAUGAAAUUUUGCCCUUCAACAUUUGCAACCCCAAAAGUAAUAGAGAUGACAUCAGAGAGGAGACCAAAGAAGAGAAUUAAGUUUCUCUCUCCAGUCACCCCAUGCAUACUACUGCACAAGACUGAAAUGCUGGACCUAAGAGCACUGUGGGAUUUUGUCAGUUCUUAGAGCAUUCAGAGCCUCCCUGCACCCACUGUGGGUCUUCAGUACCUCCCCCCAUCACCUUCCUCAACAAGACCUACUCACCUUCUUGGAGCCUUGAAUCUCUGACUGGUACCAAAUCCCCGGGAGUCUGGAGCUGCCAUUUCAUAUGUCAAAGAUGCUUUUGCAUGGUAGAGGAAAUGUAGGUCAUUUUUCAAUGACUUGGCUAUCUUCAAGCAACUCUGAGAGUCGGAAGUGGGCUAAGGACGCAGGACUAGAUAAGUAGGAUUUGUCUCAGAAGGAGCCACCUAUGUCUCCACUCCAAGCUGCUCCUCUCUGGCCUCCCUACCGCAGACCUGUGCUUUGCUGCCAUCUGCUCCACAUCUGGACAGACAGUGCCCCCCUCAGGCCAUACUCGACACUGAGCUGUAUGACAAAGACAAACCGCCCACAGGGACUUAGGAGGACACAGGCAAACCUCUACUGGUGACCCCAAUUCCAGAUUCGAACCCAGGUCUCCAGAGACCCGGCAGAGACAAGCAGAAACGAGAGGGCAGGCUGCCUCCCCCGCUCACGUUCAUGUUGGAGACAGGCAACCAGCAAGCCAGUCCUCAUCCUACGUAGUCAUCAGUACAACGAUAAAAUAAAUCAGACCCUGGCAGCGACGGAGAAGAGAUUACUUCAGAGGCGAGGAGGGCAGCUGGGUAAGGGAAGAUCGCUCCAAGGGUCAGUCCGACAAAGAGCUGAGGAAAGAAGAUUCCGGGCAAAGGGCACAGAAAGUGCAAAGGCAGAAGCAGGAGCACACCUGGACCAGACCCUGACCUCUGCGUGCCAUCCCCCAGUCCUUCCCCAGGCUGGAGUUGACCUCUGAACUGAACGCUGUGCCUGGAUCUUUGUAGCCUCUGGACACUUCCACAAUGCCAGUUGUCCUUCUCUGCCCACUUCCUUGCUCUCUGUUUGAGAAUUGACAAGGACCUCCCACACACACCCUCCCCCUCAGGGAGCAGGUAUCAUUGCAGACUGCCGCCCCCACCCCAGACUGGAUGGUGAACACUUCCCAUGCUGGGCCUGACCCCCACUCCCCCGAGGACAAAGGGCAAUUAUCAUUUAGUGGCACUGUGGGCUCAGGCAGCAGCUAUCCCUGAGUUGACUGGAACACAUUACCCACAUUAUUUCUCACUUGAUACCUGUCGAGAAACCCUUGAGAGAGCUGAAGGACGUGGUUUAGUCCUGGGUUACAGAUGGGCUGUGGAAACAGAAAGGUAGGUAUGCAUGGUUUUCAAGAGCCCAGAGUAACAGAGCCCACAUUUGUGGGAGCCUAAAUCAGCAUCAAUUACAAGUGAGUGCAGUUAGGGGAAGAUUCGUAAGCCUGGUACAGAGAUAAAUAAACCUGCGGAUU